UACGUAGGGGGCGAGCGUUAUCCGGAAUUAUUGGGCGUAAAGCGCACGCAGGCGGUCCUGCACGUGGAGGGUGAUAGCUUCUGGCUUAACCAGGAGAGCGCCUUCCAAACGAGAGGACCUGAGAGCGAGAGAGGGAGACGGAACUCCAGGUGGAGCAGUGAAAUGCGUAGAGAUCUGGAAGAACACCAAUGGCGAAGGCAGUCUCCUGGCUCGUCUCUGACGCUCAGGUGCGAAAGCGAGGGGAGCAAACAGG
RNAcentral lists this ribosomal RNA (253 nucleotides) under uncultured bacterium. Its description in RNAcentral is "partial 16S ribosomal RNA". It matches the Rfam family "Bacterial small subunit ribosomal RNA", at positions 524 to 776 of the family's 1533-position model. The record is from RNAcentral.